Molecule: ribosomal RNA, 389 nt
Filed under: uncultured bacterium
Lineage: Bacteria
Description: bacterial SSU rRNA
Rfam family: Bacterial small subunit ribosomal RNA
Source: RNAcentral
GAUGAACGCUAGCGGGAGGCCUAACACAUGCAAGCCGAGCGGUAGAGAUUCUUCGGAAUCUUGAGAGCGGCGUACGGGUGCGGAACACGUGUGCAACCUACCUUUAUCUGGAGGAUAGCCUUUCGAAAGGAGAUUAAUACUCCAUAAUAUAUUGAUUGGCAUCAAUUGAUAUUGAAAGCUCCGGCGGAUAGAGAUGGGCACGCGCAAGAUUAGUUAGUUGGUGAGGUAACGGCUCACCAAGACGAUGAUCUUUAGGGGGCCUGAGAGGUGAUCCCCACACUGGUACUGAGACACGGACCAGACUCCUACGGGAGGCAGCAGUGAGGAAUAUUGGGUCAAUGGGUGCAAGCCUGAACCAGCCAUCCCGCGUUGAAGGACGACUGCCCUAU